RNAcentral lists this transfer RNA (73 nucleotides) under Mediodactylus brachykolon (short-limbed bend-toed gecko). RNAcentral describes it as "tRNA-Asn". The record is from RNAcentral. Lineage: Eukaryota; Metazoa; Chordata; Lepidosauria; Squamata; Gekkonidae.
UAGAUUGAAGCCCGCUGGUUUGGGUGUUUAGUUGUUAACUAAAGUCUUGCGGGAUCGAGGCCCGUCAGUUUAG